AAUAGAUACCCAGGUAGUCCACGCCGUAAACGAUGAGUGCUAAGUGUUAGAGGGUUUCCGCCCUUUAGUGCUGCAGCUAACGCAUUAAGCACUCCGCCUGGGGAGUACGGCCGCAAGGCUGAAACUCAAAGGAAUUGACGGGGGCCCGCACAAGCGGUGGAGCAUGUGGUUUAAUUCGAAGCAACGCGAAGAACCUUACCAGGUCUUGACAUCCUCUGCCAACCCUAGAGAUAGGGCGUUCCCCUUCGGGGGACAGAGUGACAGGUGGUGCAUGGUUGUCGUCAGCUCGUGUCGUGAGAUGUUGGGUUAAGUCCCGCAACGAGCGCAACCCUUGAUCUUAGUUGCCAGCAUUCAGUUGGGCACUCUAAGAUGACUGCCGGUGACAAACCGGAGGAAGGUGGGGAUGACGUCAAAUCAUCAUGCCCCUUAUGACCUGGGCUACACACGUGCUACAAUGGAUGGUACAAAGAGCUGCGAACCCGCGAGGGUAAGCGAAUCUCAUAAAGCCAUUCUCAGUUCGGAUUGUA
This 527-nucleotide ribosomal RNA is filed under the name uncultured bacterium. RNAcentral's name for it is "bacterial SSU rRNA". It matches the Rfam family "Bacterial small subunit ribosomal RNA", at positions 777 to 1302 of the family's 1533-position model. The record is from RNAcentral.